RNAcentral lists this ribosomal RNA (808 nucleotides) under Arthrobacter sp. Q49-2. RNAcentral describes it as "bacterial SSU rRNA". It matches the Rfam family "Bacterial small subunit ribosomal RNA", at positions 1 to 829 of the family's 1533-position model. Lineage: Bacteria; Bacillati; Actinomycetota; Actinomycetes; Micrococcales; Micrococcaceae. The record is from RNAcentral.
UAGAGUUUGAUCCUGGCUCAGGAUGAACGCUGGCGGCGUGCUUAACACAUGCAAGUCGAACGAUGAUCCCAGCUUGCUGGGGGAUUAGUGGCGAACGGGUGAGUAACACGUGAGUAACCUGCCCUUGACUCUGGGAUAAGCCUGGGAAACUGGGUCUAAUACCGGAUACGACCAUUCCACGCAUGUGGUGGUGGUGGAAAGCUUUUGUGGUUUUGGAUGGACUCGCGGCCUAUCAGCUUGUUGGUGGGGUAAUGGCCUACCAAGGCGACGACGGGUAGCCGGCCUGAGAGGGUGACCGGCCACACUGGGACUGAGACACGGCCCAGACUCCUACGGGAGGCAGCAGUGGGGAAUAUUGCACAAUGGGCGCAAGCCUGAUGCAGCGACGCCGCGUGAGGGAUGACGGCCUUCGGGUUGUAAACCUCUUUCAGUAGGGAAGAAGCGUAAGUGACGGUACCUGCAGAAGAAGCGCCGGCUAACUACGUGCCAGCAGCCGCGGUAAUACGUAGGGCGCAAGCGUUAUCCGGAAUUAUUGGGCGUAAAGAGCUCGUAGGCGGUUUGUCGCGUCUGCUGUGAAAGACCGGGGCUCAACUCCGGUUCUGCAGUGGGUACGGGCAGACUAGAGUGCAGUAGGGGAGACUGGAAUUCCUGGUGUAGCGGUGAAAUGCGCAGAUAUCAGGAGGAACACCGAUGGCGAAGGCAGGUCUCUGGGCUGUAACUGACGCUGAGGAGCGAAAGCAUGGGGAGCGAACAGGAUUAGAUACCCUGGUAGUCCAUGCCGUAAACGUUGGGCACUAGGUGUGGGGGA